RNAcentral lists this ribosomal RNA (253 nucleotides) under uncultured bacterium. Its description in RNAcentral is "partial 16S ribosomal RNA". It matches the Rfam family "Bacterial small subunit ribosomal RNA", at positions 524 to 776 of the family's 1533-position model. The record is from RNAcentral.
UACGGAGGAGGCAAGCGUUAUCCGGAAUUAUUGGGCGUAAAGCGUCCGUAGGUGGUUUAGUAAGUCUGCUGUUAAAGCGCGGGGCUUAACUCCGUAUCGGCAGUGGAAACUACUAUACUAGAGUGUGGUAGGGGUAGAGGGAAUUCCCAGUGUAGCGGUGAAAUGCGUAGAUAUUGGGAAGAACACCGGUGGCGAAGGCGCUCUACUGGGCCAUAACUGACACUGAUGGACGAAAGCUAGGGGAGCGAAAGGG